RNAcentral lists this long non-coding RNA (2303 nucleotides) under Trifolium pratense (red clover). RNAcentral's name for it is "long non-coding RNA (TPRA_LNC007085)". The record is from RNAcentral. Lineage: Eukaryota; Viridiplantae; Streptophyta; Magnoliopsida; Fabales; Fabaceae.
GUUUCAUAUCACUUUGGGAAAUAUAUGUAUUGUUUUUACAUAUUGCACACGCAAUAAUUACAUUUUAGCACCUAAAGUGACUAAUCCAUAUUUGAUAAUUUACAAAUAAAGCAAACAGUACACUAAUAUAUUAGGCCAUAAGACAACAAAAAUACAAAUAGCAAAAAUCCUGAUCCUGAAGCAUGAGCAGCAAUUAGAAGUGGAAAAAUGAAAAGAAACCUUGUUGAUUAACUUUUCAUGUUCUUCUGCAUAUUUGGCAAACUUAAUUGCAUGUUUAGAAAUAAUCUCCUUCACUGGUGAAAUCUGCAUUAUCAUCAUCAUGCAUUACUACUUUACUUGAAAUGAAUGAAAUGAAAUUAUGAAAAAGAAUGUUUGAUACUAUUACCUUGGAUUCUUCAACCUGCACAUAUGCUUUUGCAACAGAACUGAAGUGGUAAUCAUGAUAUACAUUUUUUUUUUUGUAGUGCUUACAUAUACAUUAAUCAAAGUUUAAAAACAGUGGUAAUCAUGACUCUUCCUCUGACUAACAGUGCAUUAACGAAGUUGGCAAAAUUGAUUAUACCUGAGGUGUAGAUCUUCACCAGUAGAGAAAGUAAAAGGUGUCUCAAUGAAAAGUGUCUUAACAAGCUUUCCCAUAUAUAUAUUCUAACUCAAAGGCCUUCAAUGUUGGAAGUACAUCAAAUGCUGGAAGUGGUUCUUAACAUAAUGCCUGGCUAUAUAUAUAAAUUGAGUCAACCACUGAAAUUUAAUAUAUAGGAAGAUACAAUGCAUGCUUGUAGUUUUUCAUUUUCCUCAAUACAGGGCAGUUAAUAACAAGGAAUCUGAAUCGGGGUACAUAUUCAUGCAACUGUAACUAUGUAACUAGUUUCAACUGACAACCUACAACAAUGAUAAAAUUUGGAAAGUAUGUAAACAAUGCAUAAAUCCAUUGUAUAGGAUAAACAAAUCAUGUACAAUAAUUAGGAUACAUGCGGUCUUUGUGUUCAUUACAGUUUAUUCUAUUUGGUUAAGCUUCACUUCGUAAUCUAAACUGAUGUUUCUUUAAAUUCUUCCCUCAAUAUAUAUUUAAAGCCUAAUGAGAUAGAACCCUGGAUCCGUGCUAAUCCAAUGGACUUAUUUCCAAUCUAUUAAGGGGAUGUUUCAGUAAACAUCUUAAUUAAGCAUUUAUCAUGUGUUUAUGGCAAGUAGAACACUUCAAAUGGCAGCAAAAUGAUUAACAUACUUCUACAUGUCAACUAUAUAAUAAGGAAACAAUUGAUAGUUUUUCAAUAUCUCCUACUAGCACUGCAUAAAUGCAGUGCAAGACAGAGCAUAACAAAAACACAGUCUUACUAAUAUUCAAGGGUAUCAAAUCAUCAGUUAUACUAAUGUUUAUGAAAUUAUGACAAAUAUAAAAUGAAUGUCGCGAUAUCAGAUAAGAGGAAACUUCUGACAAUUCAAUUCUCCAAAUAGUUAAAAGAGCAGCAUAGCAAGAUGCAAGCCAGAUGACAUAACAUUUAUCCUCAUCUUUGACAUUAAAAAUACCUUGUCGUCAGCAGCAAGUAUUACUAGUUGGCCAUCUUCUGCCGCUUCUUGCUACCCGAAACAGGAGCUUCAAGGAAGUCACUGCCCUUUGCUUUGAUUGCCUGUAGAAAGAAUGCCCUUUGAAUUGCAAUUUAUAAAGUUAUGUACCUAUCCACAAUCAUCAUCAAAUUUUUGUACUUCACUUUAUACACAAAGUUAUGUACCUAGCUAAUUCAGCUUCACUAGAACUAAAUUCAGCUUUCUUUUCUUUUAUAGUCAUAACUCAUAUAUAAGAACUUUGAAAUACCUAAUUCUUCAUACUCAAUCAAUACAUACAACAAACCAAUAAAUAAAUUUCGUAAACCUAGUUCUUCAUCCUCAAUAACAAACGAAUAGAUAAAUUUCAUAUACCUAAUAACCAAUUCAUAAAACCAAAUGAUGAAAAAAAUUGGAGACAAUAAAUAAAAAAAUUAACAAUAAUGAAAUGAGAAACUGAACCUGAAGGUGAUUUUGAAGGUUGAAUGAAGGUCAAUUGAAGCUGAAGGAAGAAUCUGAGGAGAAUUUGAAGCUUACAUUGAACAACCGAGUUUGAAUCUGAAGCUUAGGUUGAAGAACGAAGAACGACCAUGACUGAAUAAGAACGAAGAUAGCUUAGGGUGAAAACGAAUAUUGAAUCUGAACGAAGAUUGAAGCUUAGGUUGAACGAACGAACAAACAAAGAUUGAACGACGUUACUGAAUCAUCUUUUUCGUUACUCAUCUGAAUCUGAAAUUGAGUGAAAUGAAAUGAAAACUUGUGAA